Non-coding RNA from Ictidomys tridecemlineatus (thirteen-lined ground squirrel), 748 nucleotides. The record is from the annotation of a RefSeq genome assembly. Lineage: Eukaryota; Metazoa; Chordata; Mammalia; Rodentia; Sciuridae.
AUAAAAGCUGUGGAGCUGCCCGUGUGAUGAACAGACUUGAAAAGCUCAGCCCUGGCCUAUCUGCACCAUGACCUGGGCUCCUCUCCUGCUCACACUUCUGGCUCACUGCACAGGCUCCACUUCCCAGGCUGUGGUGACUCAGGAAACUUCACUGACCACAACUCCAGGAGGGACAGUCACACUCACCUGUGGCUCCAGUACUGGGGCCGUCACCACCAGUAACUAUGCAAGCUGGGUCCAACAGAAGCCCUACCAGGUACCUCAGGGUGUAAUAGGUGGCACCAGUAAUCGGGUUCCAGGAGUCCCUGCCCGAUUCUCAGGUUCCCUACUUGGAGACAAGGCUGCCCUCACCAUCACGGGGGCCCAGACUGAGGAUGAGGCCACCUAUUACUGUGUUCUAUGGUUCAGCAACCAUUUCCACAGUGACACGUGCAGUGAAUGUUCCCCAGGGAGACUCCACAGGACCCCUCAGUGUGCUGAGGACCCUGAAGUACAGGCUACUCACUCUGAGACCAGUGUGGCCAAAACUAAGUCCACCUCAAUGAAAAUCAAUGCCAAGUUAGAGAUUUCAGGGUUUGAAGCAGAGUCUCCCAGUUGUCUCCAGUUGGCUGAGGACAAGGCUGAGUACCACUGCUGGCUGGUGUCAAGUGGUGUAUCACACAGGGACAGUCACAUGAGGAACUAUGAUAUAAACCAACCCUUGGCCCAGCCUGAGACUAUGAAUGACCCCUGGACUGAAGACAAAUGA